RNAcentral lists this ribosomal RNA (492 nucleotides) under uncultured bacterium. RNAcentral's name for it is "partial 16S ribosomal RNA". It matches the Rfam family "Bacterial small subunit ribosomal RNA", at positions 29 to 507 of the family's 1533-position model. The record is from RNAcentral.
AGUGAAAGCUGGAGGUAGGCCUAACACAUGCAAGUCGAACGGCAGCAGAGUAAGCGCUUGCUCUUACGGGUGGGGAGUGGCGGACGGGUGCGGUAUACCUCGGAAUCUACUUUUUCGAGGGGGCUAACGUAGGGAAACUUACGCUCAUACCGCAUACGACCUACGGGUGAAAGCCUGGGAGCUUCUGACCUUGUGCGAUUGAAUGAGCCGAUGUCGGAUUAGCUAGUUGGGGGGGUAAAGGCCCACGAAGGCGACGAACCGUAGCGGGUCUGACAGGAUGAUCAGCCACACUGGCACGGAGACACGCUCCAGACUCCGACGUUAGGCAGCAGUGUGGAAUGUUGGACAAUGGGCGCAAGCCUGAUCCAGCCAUACCGCGUGGGUGAAGAAGGCCUUCGGGUUCUAAAGCCCUUUUGUGGGGAAAGAAAAGCAGCAGGUUAAUACCCCGCUGUUCUGACGGUACCCAAAGAAUAAGCACCGGCUAACUUCGUG